RNAcentral lists this ribosomal RNA (492 nucleotides) under uncultured bacterium. Its description in RNAcentral is "partial 16S ribosomal RNA". It matches the Rfam family "Bacterial small subunit ribosomal RNA", at positions 29 to 507 of the family's 1533-position model. The record is from RNAcentral.
AGUGAACGCUGGCGGUAGGCCUAACACAUGCAAGUCGAACGGCAGCACAGUAAGAGCUUGCUCUUACGGGUGGCGAGUGGCGGACGGGUGAGGAAUACAUCGGAAUCUACUUUUUCGUGGGGGUUAACGUAGGGAAACUUACGCUAAUACCGCAUACGACCUACGGGUGAAAGCAGGGGAUCUUCGGACCUUGCGCGAUUGAAUGAGCCGAUGUCGGAUUAGCUAGUUGGCGGGGUAAAGGCCCACCAAGGCGACGAUCCGUAGCUGGUCUGAGAGGAUGAUCGGCCACACUGGAGCUGAGACACGGUCCAGACUCCUACGGGAGGCAGCAGUGGGGAAUAUGGGACAAUGGGCGCAAGCCUGAUCCAGCCAUACCGCGUGGGUGAAGAAGGCCUUCGGGUUGUAAAGCCCUUUUGUUGGGAAAGAAAAGCAGCAGGUUAAUACCCCGCUGUUCUGACGGUACCCAAAGAAUAAGCACCGGCUAACUUCGUG